CAUGAUCGAGGUCGGAAAGACAAACUCUGCCCUGCAGAUUUUGUCAUUGCUACUUGUCUUCCUAAUUCACUGCCAAGGAUCAACCCAUUAUAAUUGGGUAAAGGUGAAAGAAGCUACAUACACAAGGCUUUGCAUCACCAAGAAAAUCUCGACAGUAAAUGGAAAAUUUCCUGGACCAGUUUUACAGGCUCCUAAAGGUGAUACGAUCUACGUCAAUGUCCAUAACAAAGGCAGCCACAACAUCACCAUUCACUGGCAUGGAGUGAAGCAACCCAGGAAUCCAUGGUCAGAUGGUCCUGAAUACAUCACGCAAUGUCCAAUUCAACCUGGGGACCAAUUCAAGCAAACGAUUAUAUUUUCUAAUGAGGAAGGAACGAUCUGGUGGCAAGCAAACAAUGACUGGGCUCGAGCCACAGUACUAGUUCAUGGCGCAAUCUUUGUGUAUCCAACACGUGGAGCUAGCUAUCCUUUUCCCAAGCCUCAUGAACAAGUGCAAAUAAUAUUAGGUCAGUGGUGGAGGAGAGAUGUAAGGGAGGUAUUGGAGGAAUUCAUUAGAACUGGAGGAGCUCCGAAUGUUUCUGAUGCUCACACUAUCAAUGGUCAGCCGGGAGACCUCUAUCCUUGCUCAAAAUCUGAGACAUUCAAGCUCCUUGUGGAUCAAAACAAGACCUAUCUACUCUGUAUAGUAAACGCCACAAUGAACACCAUUUUCUUCUACUCAAUUGCAAACCAUAACCUCACAGUGGUGGGAGUAGACGGAAGCUACACAAAGCCGGUGACAACAGAUUACAUGACAAUUUCACCCGGACAAACCCUAGAUGCCUUGUUAAUCACCAACCAGCAAGUUGGUCAAUAUUACAUGGCUGCUAGGGCUUACUCAAGCACUCUUCUUAUUCCCUUUGACAACACCACAACCACAACAAUAGUAGAAUAUAAAAAUAUUGGGAAUAAUUUUACUCCAUUUUCUUCAACACCUCCAUUGCUCUACCUUCCUUAUUAUAAUGACACAAAUGCAGCUGUCACUUUCUUUGAUAGCCUUAAAAGCCUAGCUAAUGAACACCACCCAAUUGGUGUCCCAAUAAAGAUUACCAAUAGAUUAGUCUCCGCAGUUUCAAUCGACACAUUCCCAUGCCCAAAAAAUUCAUGUGCAGGACCAAACGGGACCCGCCUAGCUGCUAGCAUGAACAAUAUAAGCUUCGUAAGCCCUACAACCAUAGACAUUCUAGACGCCUAUUAUUACCAUAUCCAUGGGAUUUAUAAAAAUGGUUUCCCAGAUUUUCCACCUCUGGUAUUUAAUUUUACAGGGGAAAAUCUACCCCUCCUUUUACAAGUUCCAAAGAGGGACAAAGGUGAGGGUUUUCAAAUAUGGGUCAAUUGUGGAAAUUGUUUUUCAAGGGACAAACUGGGUGCACCAAUAGAUCAUCCAAUACAUUUGCAUGGGUUUAGCUUCUACAUUGUUGGAUGGGGGUUUGGGAAUUUUGACAAAGAUAAGGACCCAUUAAACUAUAAUCUCAUUGAUCCUCCUCUUAGGAACACUGUCGCUGUGCCCAUAAGUGGCUGGGCCGCCAUCAGAUUCCAUGCCGACAAUCCGGGAGUAUGGUUUUUGCACUGCCAUUUGGAGCGUCACCUAACUUGGGGAAUGAACACAGUUUUCAUUGUAAAGAACGGAAAAAACAAGAAGGAAAGGUUGCUGCCUCCGCCACCAAGAAUGCCACCCUGUUAAUUAAGACUUUGUCCAAAAUUAGUUACGAAACAAAUUGUUUAAUGAUUCUGAAU
Non-coding RNA from Prunus mume (Japanese apricot), 1776 nucleotides. Lineage: Eukaryota; Viridiplantae; Streptophyta; Magnoliopsida; Rosales; Rosaceae. The record is from RefSeq and is a predicted model, not a curated record.